GACGAACGCUGGCGGCGUGCUUAACACAUGCAAGUCGAACGGAAAGGCCCUGCUUGCAGGGUACUCUAGUGUCGAACGGGUGAGUAACACAUGUGAGUUCUGCCCUCCACUUCUGGAUAAGCCUUCGAAAAUGGGUCUCUUACCGCGUAUGAGCGCUCCUUCGUGUGGGUGUUGGUAAGAUUUUUCGGUGUAGGAUGAGCUCGCGGCCUAUCAGCUUGUUUGUGGGGUAAUGGCCUAACAAGGCGGUGACGGGUAGCCGGCCUGCGAGGGUGGACGGCCAAAAUGGGGAUGGAGAACGGCCCAGACUCCUACGGGAGGGAGCAGGGGGGAAAAAUGCAAAAUGGGGGGAAGCCUGAUGCAGCGACGCCGGGUGGGGGAUUAAGGCCUUCGGGUUGGAAAAUCCUUUCGCUAGGGACGAAGCUGUUUGUGACGGUAACUAGAUAAGAAGCACCGGCUAACUACGUG
This 465-nucleotide ribosomal RNA is filed under the name uncultured bacterium. RNAcentral describes it as "partial 16S ribosomal RNA". It matches the Rfam family "Bacterial small subunit ribosomal RNA", at positions 28 to 507 of the family's 1533-position model. The record is from RNAcentral.